Anas platyrhynchos (mallard) is the source of this 3481-nucleotide long non-coding RNA. RefSeq lists it as uncharacterized. The record is from RefSeq and is a predicted model, not a curated record. Lineage: Eukaryota; Metazoa; Chordata; Aves; Anseriformes; Anatidae.
GCAUGUAGUGUACAAGACAUUUUCUUUGUCUAAUGUUACAAUGAGGUUGACAAAUCCAACAAUGCUGGCAGUGUUUCCUUUGUAACAAUAUAAUUUUAAAGGUGUGGCAACUCUACCUUUUUAUCAGUGACUCUGAGGGAUUUUUUUUUUCCCCACCUUUUCUAACCUUACAUUAUUUUUAUAGCUGCAGUUGCUGGCUCUACACAGUAGCUAAGCAUUACUGUCUGGCGUGGAGGCACUGGGAAGAUGGAGAUGCACCCACUUGGUUUGUUUAUUUUUCAAGCUUCCUCAUUAUUGUUGUUUUUGUGGGUUCAAGUACUGUGGGCCUGUCAGGAGAUUAAGAGGCCUUUCCUGGCUGCUGAAGCCAUUCUCCAACAUCUGCCCUGUCCAGAGGGAAGGAAAACUAUGUUAAAGGAAAGGAAAAAAAAGACACCACAAUUGUUAGCUGUUUGCUGGUGUGUUUAGGCAACGAGACCAGAGUGGUCAAGCUGCAGAAAAGUUUGCUCAGUUCUGAUCAAGAAAAACAAAAAAGCUUCUGGCACAUAGGUUUUCAUCUUACCGUAAAUCAAAGUGGUCUCUCAUGAACAAAGCCCUUUUCAUAUUUUACAAACUAUAAAACACUCCAGUGGGUGUUUACUUGUAAAUGACAAAAAGAAUGACAUGCAGAUUUUGCAGUAUGUUGGAAAACACUGGUCAGAAGUUAGUUUAUAUUUAAAAGCAGUUAUUGUAAACUUGAUUGUAUAACAUGCUGAUCUUUAACAGCAAACAGCUGCUUAUUCCUCUCAGACAUUUAUUUUCCCACUUUUCUUCUAAGAAAAUGUUUUGAAUACUGGGUAACAAAAGGAUUUCCACACCAUGUAGAACGUUCAUGCACAUAAAGUCAACAUGUGAACAUUUUCCUGGGACAUCGCCUGAAAGCUCACGUGGUUUUACUACCAGCAUUGUACCCAGGGCUGAGAGAUACAUCUGCCACACAGCGCAGCUGAACAGAGCUUCGUUUUCAUGUCUGUGUUUCAAAAGGCUGCUCUUUAAACCGUUCCAUCUUGUCUGUAGCCUCUGGAAUAUUGUCUACCAUGAAGAAAUGGUGAGAAACAUUUGCUGCCAGACCUGGCUCUCCGAGGAUGAAAAUUGACAGCACAUCCCGACUGUAGGCCGCAGUCACCAGCCAGGGCAUAACAAGGAGGAUGUUGUCACCAUGCUGUCUAUCUGAAAACCAAAGGUCAGGAGAACCUGGAGCUGGCUGGCUGGUGUGAUUGCGGACCAGCAGACUGGGCUCUUCAGAAGAGAAACCCACGGCAGCUCUUCAGCAGCUGUAGCAGCGAGAGCUGGGAACGUUUGAAAAGCAACGUGUUCAGUCCUCGAGGGACGAGGAGCGGGAGGUGCCUCGCAUUGCUCAGCACCGAUGUGAAUGGAUGAGAAGAUGCCACGGCCAGGGGAGGCCCGUCCAGCUGCCAGCCACAGGAAUGGCUGCAGGCAGGGCUCUCAGCCUGCCUCGUGCCAAGCUGGUUUGGGCACCACACCGAGUGAAAAUAAGAAAAUAGAGGCAUCCCUACUGACUUACCCCGAGGGGAGGACAAGGAACAAGUGUGACUCUGCCAUCAACAAGUGGUAGGUCUCCUCUCGCUUGAUGUUAGGCAGGGAGUUAAAUUUAUGCUGGCUGCCACAUGUUCCCUCUCUAGUCAGCAGAGCUGUUUGCUGGAGUGACUGCUCUGUUUGUUUGUUUAGGAUGGGAAGAAUCAUGCUGUGGAAGUGCCUGUUUCUCUCCUUUAAUUAGAGAUGGCGUCUGGAAGGCUCUCUGAGUUACAAACAUCUACACUGGUCAGAUGAGACUCUUCUGAAGCAAGCAGUCAGAAAGGGCAAGCUCAGGGUGUUUGGGUGACUUGGCUGGGGACCUAACCAUAUCUUUCCAGCAGGUAUGAAUCAUGUGGCAGGGGAAAGCUCAUGUAUUUCUGGAAAACAACAUGAUUGGGGUUUUACUUAAAAACAAGUAACAAAACAGUCAUUAAGCGAUGCAUGUUCUCUGGCUGGUAUGCAUCAUCAAUGGUGUCCACCAUGUCAUUGACUCUGACAGUCCCAUACUCUAAAGGAGAUGCAAUAUUAGGGCCAAGGACAGGUGGAAGGACAGGCAUGGGAGCUGCGGCUGUGCAUGAUAGCUGAGGAAGCAGAUGAGUCUCUAUUCACCUAGAGUCGCUAGGUGAAUUUAGUUUCUCUUAGCUCUAAUGUUGGAUCACAGAAAAAUCUGAUAUAGCAUAGGGACACAGUAGGUGCAAACCUCAUCUGUACAGGGUUUUUAGACCUAUUUUUGAUGAGUAAUGUCAUCUCUUGUACUCCUUUCCAGUGAUUUUGAUCACAGUAAAACUUCAGGUCUUCCUGUUUCCAGUAGGAAAACUCCAAGUCUCAUAUUCUCUGUUGUCUGUUGCAAGUAUUAUUAUUAUUUAUUUUUUUUUUGGACCAAGUGAUAGGCAAAUGGUAUCACAUCUAUGCACAAUUCCCACUGAAGUCAAUGAAAGUCUGAAGUAGGGACACAACAUAAGGGCUGCAUACAUUUGCUAGGCUAGACACCACUAAGCAGAUGAGAGGGUUAUCCUGAAAUGUACCUCUUUCGGUUUCAGAUGGGGUAGAGUUAAUUUUAUCUGGCCGUGCCAUUCACAUUUGCAUCACUGUACUUGUGCCAGUAGCUUGUGCAGUCUUGACGUAUGGCUAUCUGAUUCCACCAUGGGUUUAAGAUUAAAAUACCUAUUUUAUCUGCAGUGCCUGAGACUAAGACUGCAUGAAGUGACGUACAAACACAUACUUAAAUAACUGAUGUCUGAAGUCCAUGGCAGUACACCAUAAACAUGGAAAAAGUGUGAAACAGCUUUCUCCUAGCUUAUAUACUCCACAGAAACCACACUAUGGGGAAAAUUUUACACCUGGGUCUCAUCUUGACACAGCUGAGAUACAGAUGGGGUGCCUACCUACACCAAAGUUAAGAAGUGCUCUACAGUCAUGAGUUUAAAUGGAGCAAGAAAAUCCCUUCUCAGAUGAAAGUACACACUAACCCAACCAAAGAAAGUCUUUGUCUCUGCAGACUGGCCUGCUUCAUGCCCUCCUUAACAAGGACCCAGUGCAUCCAUCUUGUUUAUCUGUUUGAUUCUGAGGUCUUCUUGCAUCCAGGGCAUGAUCCUGACUGCUCUGCCUCCUUCUGCAAGGUUCGUUCAGCUAAAACAUUGAUGUUACAAGACCACUGUCAUUAGCACAAGUGCUGUUAUUUGUUGCUACUUGUUAUGGAAAAAAAAAAGUCUGACAGCUAAGCAUAGUUUGAAAGUUUGAAGGACGACUUUGUCUAAGUUUGUGAAUAGAGAGAGCUGUAAAUAUGUUAACAAGGAACAGGAUAAAAAUUGUGAUCCCAAAAGUUAAUUCUAAAAAAGUUUCUUGGUCUUACUUGAUUUUCUAGGUGACCACCAGAUUGAAGAGUAAACAUUGUACCAUUCAGAAAACA